GACGAACGCUGGCGGCGUGCUUAACACAUGCAAGUCGAACGGAAAGGCCUUUUCGGAGGUACUCGAGUGGCGAACGGGUGAGUAACACGUGGGUGAUCUGCCCUGCACUCUGGGAUAAGCCUGGGAAACUGGGUCUAAUACCGGAUAGGACCGCACUUUAGUGUGUGUGGUGGAAAGUUUUUUCGGUGUAGGAUGAGCCCGCGGCCUAUCAGCUUGUUGGUGGGGUAAUGGCCUACCAAGGCGGCGACGGGUAGCCGGACUGAGAGGUUGGUCGGCCACAUUGGGACUGAGAUACGGCCCAGACUCCUACGGGAGGCAGCAGUGGGGAAGAUUGCACAAUGGGCGCAAGCCUGAUGCAGCGACGCCGCGUGGGGGAUGACGGCCUUCGGGUUGGAAACUCCUUUCGCCAGGGACGAAGCGUUUUGUGACGGUACCUGGAGAAGAAGCACCGGCUAACUACGUG
RNAcentral lists this ribosomal RNA (463 nucleotides) under uncultured bacterium. Its description in RNAcentral is "partial 16S ribosomal RNA". It matches the Rfam family "Bacterial small subunit ribosomal RNA", at positions 28 to 507 of the family's 1533-position model. The record is from RNAcentral.